CGCAGAUCGCCCCGAAGCAAUCCCCUCCCCAUCGGCGCCCCCACUCCUGUCGCAUCGAUGACAAGCCCCUCAUGAUGACGCCGCCUCCCCACCGGUGCCAUGCCGGCGCCCAUCUCCACUUCCCAUCGCCGCCCAACACCAGCAAACAAUGAUGAGGUCGAGCCAGCGCCCGCAUCGCCGCACUUCGGUGGCCAACAGCCGCCUCUGCUACCCCGCCCCAGGCAUCGCCGAUCCAGGUGACCAGGCCGACCCCGAAAGCGCCAUCUCGCGCCUCAUCUCUGCCUCCACCAGCGGGAGCGGGCCCGACGGUAACAGUGGCAGCGCGGCCGCGUUCAACGCUGGGAACUCGCCCUCCGCCCCUGCCAGAGAACGGAGUAAUCCCCAACAGACUGGUGAACCGGGUUUCUGCACAACUGUAUUGCUGACUGAUUGUCAAUUUUCGGUGACACUGGAUCCACCUCCUUCAUCAAAUCAGACACAGUCCCUGACAUGCGGCCGCUGCACCAGCAAUGUACUCUGCCUCGCAUGAGGAAGUAGCCACAACCUUCUGUUUCUGAGACAACCAGAAACUCGUAUACCUGAACAGCAUCAAAAGGAACGAAGGCACUGUCACGCAGUAUGAGAACAUGCUUGCAUAGAGGAAGACUUGCCGCCCUAGCGAUACUGGUCUCUGGUGGAAUUGUGUUGGUGAUUUUGGCCUGCGCUCUUUAUAACAACUACUGGUGGCCAAUGUUAACAAGUUAGAGACAUUUUGUGCAGUUCUGAUGCCACUCAUAUUUUUCCUGGGCGCCGAUUCUCCAUCGAUCAUGUCAAAUGAGGGUGGUGGUUUCCCCUGACACAAUUUCGCCACUGCAAGUGAGUGAACUUCACCAAGUUCCUGAUGGGCGCAUCGAUCGUGGGUAGCAUCGCGUCUAUGCCACCAAUCCUGAAGCACGCCGCAGUCAUCGGGUAGGGCUUGCUGAUGAAGGAGCUGUCCUCCGUCGUAUGUGGUUCCUUCAGAAGAACUCCGAGGACGAGGAGUGCAUCUCCUUCUGAUCUCCGGCGCUUCAUCCUCUCCUGAACUUGUGAUCUGCGCGCGAUGCGGUUCCUCGCUAGAGAUAGGGAUCGUCAAAUUGUGAAAGUCUACCGUACAAUUUGGAGCACUGGUGUUUGUCCUUGUUUAGGAGUACCAGUGAAGUGAGUCAUUUUGAGUUGCAUGUAGAGUUAUCCUCCUCCUGCUGGUACAUGAUGUUUUUGGUUAGGCUGUUGACCUCACUUGCAUCACUUAUUAGCUGUAUAGCUUUGGCCAUUUUAUUUC
Long non-coding RNA from Triticum aestivum (bread wheat), 1297 nucleotides. RefSeq lists it as uncharacterized. The record is from RefSeq and is a predicted model, not a curated record. The transcript has 5 exons. NCBI's taxonomy places the organism in Eukaryota, Viridiplantae, Streptophyta, Magnoliopsida, Poales, Poaceae.